GAUGAACGCUGGCGGCGUGCUUAACACAUGCAAGUCGAACGGGAUCCAUCAGGCUUUGCUUGGUGGUGAGAGUGGCGAACGGGUGAGUAAUGCGUGACCGACCUGCCCCAUACACCGGAAUAGCUCCUGGAAACGGGUGGUAAUGCCGGAUGCUCCAGUUGAUCGCAUGGUCUUCUGGGAAAGCUUUCGCGGUAUGGGAUGGGGUCGCGUCCUAUCAGCUUGACGGCGGGGUAACGGCCCACCGUGGCUUCGACGGGUAGCCGGCCUGAGAGGGCGACCGGCCACAUUGGGACUGAGAUACGGCCCAGACUCCUACGGGAGGCAGCAGUGGGGAAUAUUGCACAAUGGGCGCAAGCCUGAUGCAGCGACGCCGCGUGAGGGAUGGAGGCCUUCGGGUUGUAAACCUCUUUUAUCGGGGAGCAAGCGAGAGUGAGUUUACCCGUUGAAUAAGCACCG
This 456-nucleotide ribosomal RNA is filed under the name uncultured bacterium. RNAcentral's name for it is "bacterial SSU rRNA". It matches the Rfam family "Bacterial small subunit ribosomal RNA", at positions 28 to 495 of the family's 1533-position model. The record is from RNAcentral.